This is a long non-coding RNA of Lathyrus oleraceus (garden pea), 308 nucleotides long. RefSeq lists it as uncharacterized. Lineage: Eukaryota; Viridiplantae; Streptophyta; Magnoliopsida; Fabales; Fabaceae. The record is from RefSeq and is a predicted model, not a curated record. The transcript is spliced from 3 exons.
UUUAGCGCAUGUUAGUACUUUCUAUAUUUUGCUAUUAUAAUACUUUUCCCUUUCCUUUUUAUGUUUGGUCUUUGUUUUGUUGAAUGAUGAAAUGAAAUAUCCCUGUUACAGAUAUAUCAUAUCAGCCACAUCACCUUCUAAAGUUAUUCCAAAGAUGGAGACAAGUUAUGAAAUUCUUUGCAAAACAUUUAAUGAUGAAGCUAAAACUAUUUUGGAGGUGACUGAAAACAAAAGCUUUUGAGUGCAUUCAAUCUGUGAACCCUGUGCUUAUUUUAGUUGAUGGCAUGUCAUUAAUUUUCUCCCAAAAG